AGUGAACGCUGGCGGUAGGCCUAACACAUGCAAGUCGAACGGCAGCACCGUAAGAGCUUGCUCUUACGGGUGGCGAGUGGCGGACGGGUGAGGAAUACAUCGGAAUCUACUUUUUCGUGGGGGAUAACGUAGGGAAACUUACGCUAAUACCGCAUACGACCUACGGGUGAAAGCAGGGGAUCUUCGGACCUUGCGCGAUUGAAUGAGCCGAUGUCGGAUUAGCUAGUUGGCGGGGUAAAGGCCCACCAAGGCGACGCUCCGUAGCUGGUCUGAGAGGAUGAUCAGACACACUGGAAGUGAGACACGGCCCAGACUCCGACGGGAGGCAGCAGUGGGGAAUAUUGGACAAUGGGCGCAAGCCUGAUCCAGCCAUACCGCGUGGGUGAAGAAGGCCUUCGGGUUGUAAAGCCCUUUUGUUGGGAAAGAAAAGCAGCAGGUUAAUACCCCGUUGUUCUGACGGUACCCAAAGAAUAAGCACCGGCUAACUCCGUG
Molecule: ribosomal RNA, 492 nt
Filed under: uncultured bacterium
Lineage: Bacteria
Description: partial 16S ribosomal RNA
Rfam family: Bacterial small subunit ribosomal RNA
Source: RNAcentral